RNAcentral lists this ribosomal RNA (274 nucleotides) under uncultured bacterium. Its description in RNAcentral is "partial 16S ribosomal RNA". It matches the Rfam family "Bacterial small subunit ribosomal RNA", at positions 523 to 796 of the family's 1533-position model. The record is from RNAcentral.
AUACGGAGGGGGCAAGCGUUGUUCGGAAUUACUGGGCGUAAAGGGCGCGUAGGCGGGUCAGCCAGUCAGGCGUGAAAGCCCCGAGCUCAACUCGGGAACUGCGCUUGAUACUACUGAUCUAGAGUUCGGGAGAGGGUAGUGGAAUUCCCAGUGUAGAGGUGAAAUUCGUAGAUAUUGGGAAGAACACCAGCGGCGAAGGCGGCUACCUGGACCGAUACUGACGCUGAGGCGCGAAAGCGUGGGGAGCAAACAGGAUUAGAAACCCCAGUAGUCC